RNAcentral lists this transfer-messenger RNA (338 nucleotides) under Leptotrichiaceae. RNAcentral describes it as "Pseudoleptotrichia sp003932895 Standard tmRNA". It matches the Rfam family "transfer-messenger RNA". Rfam says of the family: Bacterial tmRNA, also known as 10Sa RNA or SsrA, is named for its dual tRNA and mRNA-like properties. Its role is to liberate the mRNA from a stalled ribosome. The record is from RNAcentral. RNAcentral also lists the same sequence under 1 other name. Lineage: Bacteria; Fusobacteriati; Fusobacteriota; Fusobacteriia; Fusobacteriales.
GGGAAUGUUUUGGUUUCGACAGGAUAGGAAGCUUAUUAUCGGCAAGUAAGCGGGAGCUUUAAAAUCCAAUUUAAAUAUAAUCGGAAACGAUAAUUACGCACUAGCUGCUUAAAUUGCAGCUCGUCACUGUAAGAAAUUGCCAUUUUUCUUUCGGAUGACGUCACUUUAAUGGCUUACUUAAAUGUAUGAUUAUGUCAUUUAAGGACAUUUUAUAAUCUCGCCGUUGGACUUUUGUUUGUUUAAUAUCCUGCGGUUAAAAAGAUAAAUGAACUAAACUUGUAGAUGAUAGUGAGAACUUCGUAUUUUGGACACGGGUUCGAUUCCCGUCAUUUCCACCA